UGGGGAAUUUUGGACAAUGGGCGCAAGCCUGAUCCAGCAAUGCCGCGUGCAGGAUGAAGGCCUUCGGGUUGUAAACUGCUUUUGUACGGAACGAAAAGCCUCUCUCUAAUACAGGGGGGUGAUGACGGUACCGUAAGAAUAAGCACCGGCUAACUACGUGCCAGCAGCCGCGGUAAUACGUAGGGUGCAAGCGUUAAUCGGAAUUACUGGGCGUAAAGCGUGCGCAGGCGGUUUUGUAAGACAGUGGUGAAAUCCCCGGGCUCAACCUGGGAACUGCCAUUGUGACUGCAAGGCUGGAGUGCGGCAGAGGGGGAUGGAAUUCCGCGUGUAGCAGUGAAAUGCGUAGAUAUGCGGAGGAACACCGAUGGCGAAGGCAAUCCCCUGGGCCUGCACUGACGCUCAUGCACGAAAGCGUGGGGAGCAAACAGGAUUAGAUACCCUGGUAGUCCACGCCCUAAACGAUGUCAACUGGUUGUUGGGGAUUUAUUUCUUCAGUAACGAAGCUAACGCGUGAAGUUGACCGCCUGGGGGAGUACGGCCGCAAGGUU
This 548-nucleotide ribosomal RNA is filed under the name uncultured bacterium. Its description in RNAcentral is "partial 16S ribosomal RNA". It matches the Rfam family "Bacterial small subunit ribosomal RNA", at positions 355 to 895 of the family's 1533-position model. The record is from RNAcentral.